RNA transcript from Panicum virgatum (switchgrass), 873 nucleotides. RefSeq lists it as uncharacterized. Lineage: Eukaryota; Viridiplantae; Streptophyta; Magnoliopsida; Poales; Poaceae. The record is from RefSeq and is a predicted model, not a curated record. The transcript is spliced from 3 exons.
CCUCGCUCUGCUCGCGCUCGCGCUAGCGCUAUGCCGUCGCCCUCCCUCUGCGCCGGCUGCACCCGCACCCUGCCCUCCACGGCUGCUCCAGCUCCUGCGGCGGCGAGCUGCUCGAGCUCCCUGCCGACCUGCCUCUGCGGCGGCGAGCUUGGCGGUGUCGCGCCUGCGCACGGCGGCAGCGCCCGGACGUGGGCCAGCGACAGCGGGUUCGCCGCUCCUGCAGCUUCCCAAGGGCCGCCGGAGACCUCCCUCCCGCACCCGCGGCGAGUUCGUGCCGCACCGGCCGCCUCUCCCCCGCGCCGCUGGGUCCUCCGGUGCCGCCGCCGCCAGCGAAGGCUGCUGCCGAGAGGGGCCUCCCUGAAGUCCUCAAGUUCUCCGUGGCGCAAGACGCAGGCAUUGUAAGAGAAGCUGCUUGGCAAAUAAGAUGCAGAACAGCCAGGAUCAGAGGUUGAUCAAAAUCCUGUGGAGAAAGGAUGCUGAAACUGGAUAUCAAGUUGGUUGCUUGAUCAGCUGAUUGGCAAGGAAUUGAUGGUCUUUGCGACAGAUGAAAUCACCAUGGACGCUUUGCGCAAGUACCCAUGCUGAAUUUAGAACUCGAGCCUGAUGGACACAAAUAACAUUGAUGUGAAUUGAUGUGCGGGGAGCAAGGCAUGCCAAAUUGGAGAUUGUAAUUGAUGUGAAUUUAGAGUGGAGUUCAGGAAUCGUGUGACUGAAUGUUAAAUUCAGGCUGUAACUGAAUUCUGUUAUCAAAAUGUCAUACUGAAUUCUGUCAUCAUACUGAUGUGAAUUCAGGAUUGUAACUUGUGAUUGUGCACCACCACUAGCUGUUAUCAAAAUGUCAUACUGAAUUCUGUUAUCAAACUGACAACAUCA